AUUGAACGCUGGCGGCAUGCUUUACACAUGCAAGUCGAACGGCAGCGCGGACUUCGGUCUGGCGGCGAGUGGCGAACGGGUGAGUAAUAUAUCGGAACGUACCCAGAAGUGGGGAUAACGUAGCGAAAGUUACGCUAAUACCGCAUACGAUCUACGGAUGAAAGUGGGGGACCUUCGGGCCUCAUGCUUUUGGAGCGGCCGAUAUCUGAUUAGCUAGUUGGUGAGGUAAAGGCUCACCAAGGCGACGAUCAGUAGCUGGUCUGAGAGGACGACCAGCCACACUGGGACUGAGACACGGCCCAGACUCCUACGGGAGGCAGCAGUGGGGAAUUUUGGACAAUGGGGGCAACCCUGAUCCAGCAAUGCCGCGUGAGGGAUGAAGGUCUUUGGAUUGUAAACCUCUGUCACUGGGGAAGAAACGCUUCAAGUUAACAGCUUGAAGCCUGACUUAACCCGGAGAGGAAGCAGUGGCUAACUCUGUGCCAGCAGCCGCGGUAAUC
This 500-nucleotide ribosomal RNA is filed under the name uncultured bacterium. RNAcentral's name for it is "bacterial SSU rRNA". It matches the Rfam family "Bacterial small subunit ribosomal RNA", at positions 30 to 525 of the family's 1533-position model. The record is from RNAcentral.